GGGGUGGGGCUUACCAUGCAGUCGAACGAUGAACCGGUUUCGCCGGGGAUUAUGGCGAACGGGUGAGUAACACUGGGCAAUCUGCCCUGCCUCUGGGACAGCCCUGGAAACGGGGUCUAAUACCGGAUAUGACCACCGGCCGCAUGGCUGGUGGUGGAAAGCUCCGGCGGUGCGGAUGAGCCCCGGCCUAUCACUUGUUGGUGGGGGAUGGCCUACCAGGCGACGACGGGAGCCGGCCUGAAGGGCGACCGGCCACCUGGGACUGAACACGGCCCAACUCCUACGGGAGGAGCAGUGGGGAAUAUUGCACAAUGGGGCAAGCCUGAUGCACGACCCGCGUGAGGGAUGACGGCCUUCGUUGUAAACCUCUUUCCAGGAAGAAGCGCAGUGACGGUACCUGCAAAAGCACCGGCUAACUACGUGCCACACCGCGGUAAUACGUAGGGUGCGAGCGUUGUCCGGAAUUAUUGGGCGUAAAGAGCUCGUAGCGGCCUGUCGCGUCGGAUGUGAAAGCCCGGGGCUUAACCCCGGGUCUGCAUUCGAUACGGGCAGGCUAAGUUCGGCAGGGGAGAUUGGAAUUCCUGGUGUACGGUGAAAUGCCAAUAUCGAGGAACACCGGUGGCGAAGCGGAUCUCUGGCCGAUACUGACGCUGAGACGAAGCGUGGGAGCAACAGGAUUAGAUACCCUGGUAGUCCACGCCGUAAACGUUGGGCACUAGUGUGGGCGGCAUUCCACUCUCCGUGCCGCAGCUAACGCAUUAGUGCCCCCGCCUGGGAUAGGCCACGGCUAAACUAACGGAUUACGGGCACGCACAUGCAGUCGAGCAUGUCGCCUCAUUCGACGCACGCGAGAAUCUUUCCGAAUGGCUUGA
RNAcentral lists this ribosomal RNA (872 nucleotides) under Streptomyces sp. NIOT-BARREN 27. Its description in RNAcentral is "bacterial SSU rRNA". It matches the Rfam family "Bacterial small subunit ribosomal RNA", at positions 41 to 984 of the family's 1533-position model. Lineage: Bacteria; Bacillati; Actinomycetota; Actinomycetes; Kitasatosporales; Streptomycetaceae. The record is from RNAcentral.